AUGAUAAUAUUACAAAUACCUACAGGGUGCAGUUGUGUGCCCGGCACCCUUUUAAGUGCUUUCUACAUAUGGGCUGGUUUAAUGCCUCAGCCCCUCUGGGGCAGGAGUGCUACUGUUAAUUAUGAUCCUCACGUUGGAGACAAGAACAGGAGGCACAGAGAGAGUAGGUUCCUUGCACACGGAUUCACAACUGAGAUAGACGAAGCAGACCACGAUCCAGACGAGAGGCAGCCACAGCCCGUUGAGGUAGAGGACGCUCUCGGUCAGCCGCUGCACGUCCACGGACACCAGGUUGACCACAUCACCCACCGCACUGGCCUUUCUGGAGCCACUGGACAGAGCCAGGACCUGGCGGGUGGGCAGAAGGAGAGAAGUAAAGUGGGGAGGCCGGGGCAGAGGGAUGCCCCAGGUGGCUUCUCCACCCAGUGAGCCCCACUUCACGCGUCUGCGAGGUGGGUGAGUAAAGUCUCUUAGGCCAACCUCUCAGGGCUCUUUGAGGAUCCACGGAGAUGACAAAAAUGAAAAUCCUCCAAGAUCCCUAAAGCACGGGAGGCAUAAUAAUGAAUAACAUGCACGAAAACACCAGAUUAACACAGAUAACGGUGGUCAUCUGCCCAGUGCUCACCAUGUCGCAGGCACUGUGCUAAAUGAACAGCCUUAUCCUUCCCCGGGGUGCUCACAGCCAUGAAUGGUACCAAGCAGGCACUACCAUAUUCAUUCCCUCUAAUGCCAGGCCAGGUGCAGUGGCCUCUGCCUGUAAUCCCACCACUCUGGGAGGCUGAGGUGGGAGGAUUGCUUGAUCCCAGGAGUUCGAAACCAGCCCGGGCGACAUAGUAAGACCCAAGCUCUACAAAAUACUUUAAAAAAUUAGCCAGGGGGCCGGGUGCGGUGCCUCAUGCCUGUAAUCCCAGCACUUUGGGAGGCCGAGGUGGACAGAUCACCUGAGGUCAGGAGGUGGAGACCAGCCUGGCCAACAUGGUGAAACCCUGUCUCUACCAAAAAUACAAAAAUUAGCCGGGCAUGGUGGCAGGCACCUGUAAUCCCAGCUACUUGGGAGGCUGAGGCAAGAGAAUCGCUUAAACCCAGGAGGCAGAGGUUGCAGUGAGCCCAGAUCAAGCCAUUGCAUUCCAGUCUGGGCAACAAGAGCAAAAUCCAUUUCGGGGGGAAAAAAAAGAAAAAAUUAGCCAGGCAUGGUUGUGGUGCGCCUGUGGUCCUAGCUAGCUACUGGGGAGGCUGAGGAGGGAGGAUUAAUUGAGUACGGGAGGUUGAGGCUGCAGUGAGCCAUGUUGGUGCCACUGCACUCUAGCCCGGGCAACAGAGCAAGACCCUGUCUUUAAAAAAAAUUCUAUGGAUAAAUUGCUCUCUAUUAUUCUCUCACCAAGGAAAAUACCACUUCCAGUUAAAUUAAGACAUGUAAGAGACAUCUCGAUUUUGGAAGUAUUAGAGUGAAAAAAAAAUGUGAGACUAGAAUCAAUGAAAUGAACAUUUACUAACCCCAUUCUAUGGCUAAAGAAACCGAGGCAGAGAGAAGUUGAGCAACUUGCCCAAAGUCACAGCCCUUGUAAGCGCCUACACAAGGAAUGGAAUCCAGGGUGACGAAGGCAUGACAAGGGUGAGACCUUUCACGUGCUUCUGUGAUACCAACCUGGUUCUCUGGCAGCCUCACAUCUGCCUUAACCCUGGGGUCACAGUGGACCUCUUCCAGCCUGUUGAAUGCUAAAUUCCACAUGCAGCCCUCCCUUUGUGACUGCGUGAGGGAGUGAAGAAGUGAUCCAGGAAUGACUGGACAUAGAAAUUCUCCACUUAGCAAGUCUUUGAAGAGUGCCCACUGUGUGACUCACACUGAGCUGGGAACUGAAAAUACAGCUGUGAACAACAGAGAUGAGGCUUGCUCUCCCGGGACUGGAGUUUGAGGUGGGGAACAAGGCUCUAUAAUAAAGAUUUAUAUAACUGGCUGGGCACAGUGGCUCACACCUGUAAUCCCAGCACUUUGGGAGGCUGAGGCGGAUGGAUUGCUUGAGGCCGGGAGUUCGAGAUCAGCCUGGCCAAUAUGGCAAAACCCCAUCUCUAGUAAAAAUACAAAAAUUAACUGGGCAUGCUGGUGGGCGCCUGUAAUCCCAGCUACUUGGGAGGGUGAGGCAGGACAAUUGCUUGAACCCAGGAGGCAGAGGUUGCAGUGAGCCAAGAUUGCACCACUGCACUACAGCCUGGGUGACAGAGUGAGACUCUGUCUCAAAAAAAUAAGACAAAACAAAAACAUUUCUAUAACUCAUGCUUUAAUGGCAGUUAUGAUGAGUAACAUACAAAAGUAGCCCAGGCUGAGCGCGUUGGCUCAUGUCUGUAAUCCCAGCACUUUGGGAGGCUGAGGUGGGUGGAUCACCUGAGGUCAGGAGUUCGAUACCAGCUUGGCCAACAUGGUGAAACCCUGUCUACUAAAAAUACAAAAUUAGCCGGGCAUGGUGGCGCACACCUGUAAUCCCAGCUACUCAGGAAGCUGAGACAGGAGAAUCACUUGAACCCAGGGGGCGGAGGUUGUAGUGAGCCGAGACUGUGCCACUGCACUCCAGCCUGGGCAACAAGAGGGAAACUCUGUCAGAAAAAAAAAAAAAAAAAGCCCAGAGGUUAGAGAGGGACGGAUCUGAUCUCAUCAGGAGAUCAAAGAAGGCCUCUGGCGGGUGGUGGGGAAUAGGAAGAUCAAUGCCGUGCUCACCAGGCUGCCUUCCUCUUAGGCUCAAGGAAAUGUGGACUCUCAAGACAGGAUAGGGCACACCCAGCUCUGGCAUGCUCAGGGGAACAGCAGCCCUGGGACGCAGCACUCUGGCAGGACAGCA
This 2831-nucleotide long non-coding RNA is filed under the name Pan troglodytes (chimpanzee). Its description in RNAcentral is "lncRNA (ENSPTRG00000054330.1)". Lineage: Eukaryota; Metazoa; Chordata; Mammalia; Primates; Hominidae. The record is from RNAcentral.